Long non-coding RNA from Numida meleagris (helmeted guineafowl), 4476 nucleotides. RefSeq lists it as uncharacterized. The transcript is spliced from 2 exons. NCBI's taxonomy places the organism in Eukaryota, Metazoa, Chordata, Aves, Galliformes, Numididae. The record is from RefSeq and is a predicted model, not a curated record.
UUGCACUUAUUUACACACUUGUGGCACUCCUGGCCGGAGGGGCUUUUGCAGGCAGCCGGCCCAGAGAUCCCAGCAGCGCCCAGCCUGACGCGCAGCUUAUGGGGAGAAGCCAAGCGAGCAGCAUUGCCACCGCCCCAGGUGGAGCGCUUAUUUCCCCCGUGCACAGCGCGUGCCUUAUUUCCACCCUCCACUGCACAGCUCAGCCCUCUGCCAUCGCCCCCCCCUCCCCCCAGCCCUUUGUAAGGCAGCAAAAGGGAGAACACGGGGAGAUGAAGGUGCCCAUCACCUUCCUCCCCGUGCAGGAUGGGGCCGGGUGCUCCGCGCCUCCCAGCAGCCGGCGGGGAGGGCCCUCCCAACAGCACCGCUUUGAAUUAAACAUACCACCCUAAUGAGUUGAUUUUAUUAGUUUGCGAGUGCAUUGAGAACUCAUUAUCAAAAUAAACAUCAGUUCACUCCACCGAGCACGGCGGCGUCGCACACACGCGCACCCCGGCAGCGCUGCAGAUGGGGCCACACAGCUCUGCCCCUGGUGCCCUCUGUGCCCCACAUCCCUGCACCCGGCCCCACGCCAUGGGGAUGUGCAGCUACCUGCCCCACAAAGCGCCUCACACCACCGGCUUGGCUUCUUCACUGCGGGGGCCGAGCAUCACCGCUGUUGGGAUGGGAUGGCCCCAGCUCCUGCCAACCCAAAACAGGCAGUGUGAAGUCCCCUGGUCCCCAGGACAUCGUCCCUCUUGGAUAACAUGGGCAGGCUGAACCCCAACCCUGCUGCACCCCACUGGGGCACGAUGCUGUGGGGAUGUGCAGACCCCAAAGGCACUGGGUACGCUCACCCCAGCCCCGGGGAGCCCACACCGGGGUGGAGCGCCGAGGCACGCAGCAGGGGACAGCGGGCACAUUGUCUGGCUCGGCAGGACAUGCUCCCUUUGGAAACAGCAGCUAAUCCCAUUUCAUCCCCCUUCAUGGCCAUCAGCUGUUUUUCAGGCAUUCAGGAGGCGGGUUGCUGAAACCAGAGCUAUUGUAUCCCCGCCGCCGCCCCAGCCCCCUCCAUCCAUCACAGCCCAGUGCUCGGCCGUGCAUCCGGCAGCAUUCCCACACCCACUCCCUCCCUGCACCCAGCCGGACCUGUGCCCCUCUGCCUUCACCCAGGACCCUCGGUCUGACCCUGUGCUCCAAGCCCAGGUGAGGAGGAAGAGGAGGAGAGGAAGCACCACGAGGUCCCCCCCAUAGCCCAGGGAUGCCAGCAGAGCAUCCCCGUGCUCAAUUGUUCCCUGCUGGGAAGAUGCAGUUCCUGGAAGGAGGGCAACACAUGAGGAGAUGUCAAUGACACUAUAAAACCCCAUUAAUAGCGAGCACUUGGCCUAGAUUCAGCCCAGUUUCCUACAUCCAGCAAACCAGGACCUGGCCCCAGGGAACACAACAGGGACACACUGGGCAGGGGACACAGGGGACAGGCUCCUCCAGCCAGCCCAGCCCUACAGAUGUGGGAUAGGUGAGCAAGGGUGCCCUUGGCCCCAGACUCACUCCGGGGAAAUGCCCGCUGGCUGGAGCAAUUUGCAUGCCCAGGAGUCGGCACGCAUGCCCCGAUCAAUUAAAAGGCUCUAAAAAUAGCAUUUGCCUUCAUCAACCUGUUGUGAGUCAUGGAUACGGUAAUGCUGCUGUGUGCUGGGCACUCUGCCAUGUGGCCCUGGUUCCCCACUCUGCACGGGACAGCCAGAGCGUCCCAUGCCACACGUGCCCCUGCUCCCCAGGAAGCCCAAGGAUGCCUGCCCAUGCAAACCAGGGGUGGCAGGACCCUGCCAGGCCCCCCCAGCACCCAGCUCCCUGCACCAACCCAAGCAUCCCCACAGGGAUCAGCGUCCCCACAGCUGACCCCACAUCAGGAGCCGGGCACCGCGGCCAGCACGCAGCCAGGAGGGCUCAAGGUGACAGCUGAGGACUCGCAGGUUUUCGCCUCACCCAGCAGCACACAAAGCAAUUAGCUCACGUGGCUAAAAUUAGCUCAGUGGUUUCUUUCUGUUAAUGGUCAAACCCAUCAAGGUUUCCCUCCACCGGGGGCCCCGGCACCGCUGUGUGGGCGGCAGUGAUUGAUGAAAGCCGACGGAGCCGCUCACGUGUGCACGCGUUGGGCAGCAAAGCCCAUCCCCAGCGGCACGGCACCGGGACACUGGCCCAGCCAGCAGCCCUGGGGGCAGUGCACCCCAUCACAGCCUGUGCCUCAGUUUCCCCUCAGCUGCCAAAGGGAUCCAGCACGGCACGGCAGAGCUCCCGGCAUGCUCAGGCCAGCUGUUGUGCGAUGAGAUGGGCAAUGGGGACAAUGACAGCAAAAGGUUGAAAGGGAGAGCGGCUUUGGCACGGGGAGGGCGUUCUGGCAUUCCUGGAAUCAUCACCGCGCCGUCCCCGCUCGCAGUUGGGACGCUCAGCUGCUGGCACAAGGUGACAGCUGGUCACAGUGCCCAGAGCCCCAUGGUGGCUACCAGCCAGGAGGUGACACCGAUCUGCACGGGGAGGUGACAGCUCAGAGCAGCCGGUGCCUGCCACUCACUGCAUCUCCAGGGACAGCCCUCGAGCCCCCCGCACCCAAAUUCUCCAUUCCUAGAGGCCGAGAGCGGGGACACAACCGGCCUCAUCGGAGCGGGGAGACAAAGGGGCCAGGGACCAGCUGCAGCCCGGAAUGUCCCCUGCCCUCGGCCCCGUUCCCAGGGAUCAGGUUUCCCAGUUCCCAGGCAACCCGAGCGUUCCAGGCACAGGCAUUCCGCACCCUGCGGUGCUGGGGGCAAAGCGAGGGGCCGCAGGCAGGUGGUCUGCAGGGGCUGGGGGAGGCGGCCAGCGAGGGAAGGCAUCUCUGGGAGUGGAGGGAUGCACCCCAAAAGUGCACUGGCAACGGGGUGGGAGGAUGCACCUCAAAGCAUCCCCAGGAGAUGCACUCCCAGCAGCAGGCUCUGGUUCACGGAGAGCUGCCCAGGGCUGUGCCCUUGCAGUUGGCAUUGCCGGCGUGCACAGGAUGCCAGGCGUGAGCAGCGCAGUGGAGCCGCUGCCAGCACAUUCCUGCUGCCUGCAGAUCAAAUGCAACGCUCCCUUACACCCAUCCCCACCCAUCUCCCCCCGGACACUCCCAGGACACCUCUCUACUCGCAGCCCCAUAAGGGUGCUGGAUCCCUAGGGUGACCACACGCUCCCCCCCGUGCCGCCCUGUGCCAUGGGGCUCAGCUCACCCUUCGUUAGCGCGAUCACAUCACCACUGACAGCAGCAUAUUUAUUACUGGCCCAGCACUGACCAUUUCUCACCCAGUGACACACAACCUGCUAACAAGCUCGGCGAGGUAACGAGGGCUCUGGAGCAAGGGCACCCGCUGCUCCCCCACCCAGAUAGGACCCAGCACCACGAGGGUUUUACUCCCACACCCCUCUGAGUCUGCACUGCCCCAGGCAACAACCUGCACCACUGCUGCAAAACAUCAACGUGAUCACAAGUCGCUGUUUAUGCAGGACCUACAGUAAGACAGUGUGGUUCGAGUUCAUCCCAAGGCAGGAAUCAGCCACGUCAAGGAUCAGCCCCAGGCUGGGACAAGGCAACACCUCAGGCUUUGUGGCCCCAGGGAGCUGAUGGAGUGGAGGUGGGACCAGCACUGCACAGCCCUGCAAGCACAGCUCCUGCACCCUGCAGGGGACAAGGACACCGCUCGUGAAGACUCAUGAAGACAGACCCUGGGUCACUCCUCAUCACACUCGCACCCCCCACUUUCCUUCCUGAGCUGGAGCUUCGCACAAGGCCAGCAGCGAGUGCAGCAGCCAAGCUCACGGGGAAGGCGGAGGCAGAAAAAGCCAUCCCAGCGUUCCCAAGGCUUGAUGGUGGACACCAGCCCUGGGGAUGCUUUCAUGGAUAAAGACACCUUCCCAAAGCCGAUGGAACCGCUGCUCUUUGUCACACCCUCAGGAAGGGGCAGUGACCCAUCCCCUCCAGCCCUGCUCCAUGGCACACGCAGACGUGCCCAGGGACCACACGUGGCUGCCAGAAGGCUCCAUACCUCCCACGCCAGCCCCUAAUAAGCCUCUUUGGCCGAAGCUGCCCGUCUCAGGCCCCUGCCCCAAAUCCUGUCUGGAACCUUAAGCCUCCCAAAUCCCUCCCGGGACUGGAUGCAGCCUCUUCAAUCCCAUUACGGGAGCUGUGCUGGUGCAGGGGGUCCUGGGCUGUGCCCCCAGCCCCAGCUGAGGGAAAACUGUAUGUCUGGGGGGCACAAAAUCUACAGAACAAAGCGGGAGGGGGGAGGAAUGGGACCAGCACCUCCAGCUUCUGGGGACCCCUCUGUUGUCUCACCAUUCAGUGAGGGUCGCACUGCGACAGCUCCAGCCUGCAUUGCAUUCGCCUCUGGGUAAUUAGCGUGAGGCCCCUAAUCAAUAAGUUAUUUUUUGCCGUGGGUAAUUAAUAAUUACACAGCACAGGCAGGCUGUAAUUAAACUUCCAUCCCAUCUCUC